UGGGGAAUUUUGGACAAUGGGCGAAAGCCUGAUCCAGCAAUGCCGCGUGUGUGAAGAAGGCCUUCGGGUUGUAAAGCACUUUUGUCCGGAAAGAAAUCCUUGGCUCUAAUACAGUCGGGGGAUGACGGUACCGGAAGAAUAAGCACCGGCUAACUACGUGCCAGCAGCCGCGGUAAUACGUAGGGUGCAAGCGUUAAUCGGAAUUACUGGGCGUAAAGCGUGCGCAGGCGGUUUGCUAAGACCGAUGUGAAAUCCCCGGGCUCAACCUGGGAACUGCAUUGGUGACUGGCAGGCUAGAGUAUGGCAGAGGGGGGUAGAAUUCCACGUGUAGCAGUGAAAAUGCGUAGAGAUGUGGAGGAAUACCGAUGGCGAAGGCAGCCCCCUGGGCCAAAUACUGACGCUCAUGCACGAAAAGCGUGGGGAGCAAAACAGGAUUAGAUACCCUGGUAGUCCACGCCCUAAAACGAUGUCAACUAGUUGUUGGGGAUUCAUUUCCUUAGUAACGUAGCUAACGCGUGAAGUUGACCGCCUGGGGAGUACGGUCGCAAGAUUAAAACUCAAAGGAAUUGACGGGGUCAUAGCUGUUUCCU
This 590-nucleotide ribosomal RNA is filed under the name uncultured bacterium. Its description in RNAcentral is "partial 16S ribosomal RNA". It matches the Rfam family "Bacterial small subunit ribosomal RNA", at positions 355 to 1375 of the family's 1533-position model. The record is from RNAcentral.